RNAcentral lists this transfer RNA (70 nucleotides) under human gut metagenome. It matches the Rfam family "tRNA". Rfam says of the family: Transfer RNA (tRNA) molecules are approximately 80 nucleotides in length. Their secondary structure includes four short double-helical elements and three loops (D, anti-codon, and T loops). The record is from RNAcentral.
GCGGUGUAGCUCAGCUGGCUAGAGCGUCUGGUUCAUACCCAGAAGGUCGGGGGUUCGAUUCCCUCCGCCG